GCAGUAGCCGCGGGAAUACGGAGGGUGCAAGCGUUAAUCGGAAUUACUGGGCGUAAAGCGCACGCAGGCGGUCUGUCAAGUCAGAUGUGAAAUCCCCGGGCUUAACCUGGGAACUGCAUUUGAAACUGGCAGGCUAGAGUCUUGUAGAGGGGGGUAGAAUUCCAGGUGUAGCGGUGAAAUGCGUAGAGAUCUGGAGGAAUACCGGUGGCGAAGGCGGCCCCCUGGACAAAGACUGACGCUCAGGUGCGAAAGCGUGGGGAGCAAACAGGAUUAGAUACCCGAGUAGUCCCUGUCUCUUAUAC
This 302-nucleotide ribosomal RNA is filed under the name uncultured bacterium. Its description in RNAcentral is "partial 16S ribosomal RNA". It matches the Rfam family "Bacterial small subunit ribosomal RNA", at positions 508 to 807 of the family's 1533-position model. The record is from RNAcentral.